ACGAACGCUGGCGGCGUGCUUAACACAUGCAAGUCGAGCGAGGGGCUUCGGCUCCUAGCGGCGAACGGGUGAGUAACACGUGGGCAACCUGCCCCGAGCUCUGGAAUAACUUCGGGAAACCGGGGCUAAUGCCGGAUAUGACACUACUGGGCAUCUGGUGGUGUGGAAAGAUUUAUCGGCUCGGGAUGGGCCCGCGGCCUAUCAGCUUGUUGGUGGGGUGAUGGCCUACCAAGGCGACGACGGGUAGCCGGCCUGAGAGGGCGACCGGCCACACUGGGACUGAGACACGGCCCAGACUCCUACGGGAGGCAGCAGUGGGGAAUAUUGCGCAAUGGGCGAAAGCCUGACGCAGCGACGCCGCGUGGGGGAUGACGGCC
This 377-nucleotide ribosomal RNA is filed under the name Frankia sp. RNAcentral's name for it is "bacterial SSU rRNA". It matches the Rfam family "Bacterial small subunit ribosomal RNA", at positions 29 to 416 of the family's 1533-position model. Lineage: Bacteria; Bacillati; Actinomycetota; Actinomycetes; Frankiales; Frankiaceae. The record is from RNAcentral.